GGUUAAGCGACUAAGCGUACACGGUGGAUGCCCUGGCAGUCAGAGGCGAUGAAGGACGUGCUAAUCUGCGAUAAGCGUCGGUAAGGUGAUAUGAACCGUUAUAACCGGCGAUUUCCGAAUGGGGAAACCCAGUGUGUUUCGACACACUAUCAUUAACUGAAUCCAUAGGUUAAUGAGGCGAACCGGGGGAACUGAAACAUCUAAGUACCCCGAGGAAAAGAAAUCAACCGAGAUUCCCCCAGUAGCGGCGAGCGAACGGGGAGCAGCCCAGAGCCUGAAUCAGUAUGUGUGUUAGUGGAAGCGUCUGGAAAGGCGCGCGAUACAGGGUGACAGCCCCGUACACAAAAAUGCACAUGCUGUGAGCUCGAUGAGUAGGGCGGGACACGUGGUAUCCUGUCUGAAUAUGGGGGGACCAUCCUCCAAGGCUAAAUACUCCUGACUGACCGAUAGUGAACCAGUACCGUGAGGGAAAGGCGAAAAGAACCCCGGCGAGGGGAGUGAAAAAGAACCUGAAACCGUGUACGUACAAGCAGUGGGAGCACGCUUAGGCGUGUGACUGCGUACCUUUUGUAUAAUGGGUCAGCGACUUAUAUUCUGUAGCAAGGUUAACCGAAUAGGGGAGCCGAAGGGAAACCGAGUCUUAACUGGGCGUUAAGUUGCAGGGUAUAGACCCGAAACCCGGUGAUCUAGCCAUGGGCAGGUUGAAGGUUGGGUAACACUAACUGGAGGACCGAACCGACUAAUGUUGAAAAAUUAGCGGAUGACUUGUGGCUGGGGUGAAAGGCCAAUCAAACCGGGAGAUAGCUGGUUCUCCCCGAAAGCUAUUUAGGUAGCGCCUCGUGAAUUCAUCUCCGGGGGUAGAGCACUGUUUCGGCAAGGGGGUCAUCCCGACUUACCAACCCGAUGCAAACUGCGAAUACCGGAGAAUGUUAUCACGGGAGACACACGGCGGGUGCUAACGUCCGUCGUGAAGAGGGAAACAACCCAGACCGCCAGCUAAGGUCCCAAAGUCAUGGUUAAGUGGGAAACGAUGUGGGAAGGCCCAGACAGCCAGGAUGUUGGCUUAGAAGCAGCCAUCAUUUAAAGAAAGCGUAAUAGCUCACUGGUCGAGUCGGCCUGCGCGGAAGAUGUAACGGGGCUAAACCAUGCACCGAAGCUGCGGCAGCGACGCUUAUGCGUUGUUGGGUAGGGGAGCGUUCUGUAAGCCUGCGAAGGUGUGCUGUGAGGCAUGCUGGAGGUAUCAGAAGUGCGAAUGCUGACAUAAGUAACGAUAAAGCGGGUGAAAAGCCCGCUCGCCGGAAGACCAAGGGUUCCUGUCCAACGUUAAUCGGGGCAGGGUGAGUCGACCCUAAGGCGAGGCCGAAAGGCGUAGUCGAUGGGAAACAGGUUAAUAUUCCUGUACUUGGUGUUACUGCGAAGGGGGGACGGAGAAGGCUAUGUUGGCCGGGCGACGGUUGUCCCGGUUUAAGCGUGUAGGCUGGUUUUCCAGGCAAAUCCGGAAAAUCAAGGCUGAGGCGUGAUGACGAGGCACUACGGUGCUGAAGCAACAAAUGCCCUGCUUCCAGGAAAAGCCUCUAAGCAUCAGGUAACAUCAAAUCGUACCCCAAACCGACACAGGUGGUCAGGUAGAGAAUACCAAGGCGCUUGAGAGAACUCGGGUGAAGGAACUAGGCAAAAUGGUGCCGUAACUUCGGGAGAAGGCACGCUGAUACGUAGGUGAAGUCCCUCGCGGAUGGAGCUGAAAUCAGUCGAAGAUACCAGCUGGCUGCAACUGUUUAUUAAAAACACAGCACUGUGCAAACACGAAAGUGGACGUAUACGGUGUGACGCCUGCCCGGUGCCGGAAGGUUAAUUGAUGGGGUUAGCGGUAACGCGAAGCUCUUGAUCGAAGCCCCGGUAAACGGCGGCCGUAACUAUAACGGUCCUAAGGUAGCGAAAUUCCUUGUCGGGUAAGUUCCGACCUGCACGAAUGGCGUAAUGAUGGCCAGGCUGUCUCCACCCGAGACUCAGUGAAAUUGAACUCGCUGUGAAGAUGCAGUGUACCCGCGGCAAGACGGAAAGACCCCGUGAACCUUUACUAUAGCUUGACACUGAACAUUGAGCCUUGAUGUGUAGGAUAGGUGGGAGGCUUUGAAGUGUGGACGCCAGUCUGCAUGGAGCCGACCUUGAAAUACCACCCUUUAAUGUUUGAUGUUCUAACGUUGACCCGUAAUCCGGGUUGCGGACAGUGUCUGGUGGGUAGUUUGACUGGGGCGGUCUCCUCCUAAAGAGUAACGGAGGAGGAGCACGAAGGUUGGCUAAUCCUGGUCGGACAUCAGGAGGUUAGUGCAAUGGCAUAAGCCAGCUUGACUGCGAGCGUGACGGCGCGAGCAGGUGCGAAAGCAGGUCAUAGUGAUCCGGUGGUUCUGAAUGGAAGGGCCAUCGCUCAACGGAUAAAAGGUACUCCGGGGAUAACAGGCUGAUACCGCCCAAGAGUUCAUAUCGACGGCGGUGUUUGGCACCUCGAUGUCGGCUCAUCACAUCCUGGGGCUGAAGUAGGUCCCAAGGGUAUGGCUGUUCGCCAUUUAAAGUGGUACGCGAGCUGGGUUUAGAACGUCGUGAGACAGUUCGGUCCCUAUCUGCCGUGGGCGCUGGAGAAUUGAGGGGGGCUGCUCCUAGUACGAGAGGACCGGAGUGGACGCAUCACUGGUGUUCGGGUUGUCAUGCCAAUGGCACUGCCCGGUAGCUAAAUGCGGAAGAGAUAAGUGCUGAAAGCAUCUAAGCACGAAACUUGCCCCGAGAUGAGUUCUCCCUGACUCCUUGAGAGUCCUGAAGGAACGUUGAAGACGACGACGUUGAUAGGCCGGGUGUGUAAGCGCAGCGAUGCGUUGAGCUAACCGGUACUAAUGAACCGUGAGGCUUAACCUU
This 2907-nucleotide ribosomal RNA is filed under the name Escherichia coli. RNAcentral describes it as "23S ribosomal RNA". It matches the Rfam family "Bacterial large subunit ribosomal RNA". Lineage: Bacteria; Pseudomonadati; Pseudomonadota; Gammaproteobacteria; Enterobacterales; Enterobacteriaceae. The record is from RNAcentral.